GCGGUAGUACGCAAUGGGUCAGUGUGUCUGGCUGUUAACCAGAAGGUUGGUGGUUUGAGUCCACACAGGGAUG
Non-coding RNA from Podarcis lilfordi (Lilford's wall lizard), 73 nucleotides. Lineage: Eukaryota; Metazoa; Chordata; Lepidosauria; Squamata; Lacertidae. The record is from the annotation of a GenBank genome assembly.